UACAGAGGGGGCAAGCGUUAUUCGGAAUUAUUGGGCGUAAAGGGCGCGUAGGCGGCCUGGUAAGUGGAAGGUGAAAUCCCCGGGCUUAACCUGGGAAUGGCAUUUGGGACUGCAAGGCUCGAGUGCGGCAGAGGAGACUGGAAUUCCUGGUGUAGCAGUGAAAUGCGUAGAUAUCAGGAGGAACACCGAUGGCGAAGGCAGGUCUCUGGGCUGACACUGACGCUCAUGCACGAAAGCGUGGGGAGCAAACAGG
This 253-nucleotide ribosomal RNA is filed under the name uncultured bacterium. RNAcentral's name for it is "partial 16S ribosomal RNA". It matches the Rfam family "Bacterial small subunit ribosomal RNA", at positions 524 to 776 of the family's 1533-position model. The record is from RNAcentral.